GACGAACCGUGCGAACGUUGUUCGGAAUCACUGGGCUUAAAGGGCGCGUAGGCGGGCCGCAAAGUCUGUGGUGAAAUCCUCCAGCUUAACUGGAGAACUGCCGCGGAUACUGGCGGUCUCGAGGAUGGUAGGGGCGUGCGGAACAGUUGGUGGAGCGGUGAAAUGCGUUGAUAUCAACUGGAACUCCGGUGGCGAAGGCGGCACGCUGGACCAUGUCUGACGCUGAGGCGCGAAAGCCAGGGGAGCAAACGGG
RNAcentral lists this ribosomal RNA (253 nucleotides) under uncultured bacterium. Its description in RNAcentral is "partial 16S ribosomal RNA". It matches the Rfam family "Bacterial small subunit ribosomal RNA", at positions 524 to 776 of the family's 1533-position model. The record is from RNAcentral.